Molecule: ribosomal RNA, 253 nt
Filed under: uncultured bacterium
Lineage: Bacteria
Description: partial 16S ribosomal RNA
Rfam family: Bacterial small subunit ribosomal RNA
Source: RNAcentral
UACGUAGGGGGCAAGCGUUGUCCGGAAUCAUUGGGCGUAAAGAGCGUGUAGGCGGCCAGAAAAGUCCGCUGUGAAAACUCGAGGCUCAACUUCGAGCUGUCGGUGGAAACUUUCUGGCUAGAGUCCGGAAGAGGAGAAUGGAAUUCCUGGUGUAGCGGUGAAAUGCGCAGAUAUCAGGAGGAACACCGGUGGCGAAGGCGGGUCUCUGGGCAACAACUGACGCUGAGGAGCGAAAGCGUGGGGAGCGAACAGG